This 8536-nucleotide long non-coding RNA is filed under the name Cucumis sativus (cucumber). RNAcentral's name for it is "long non-coding RNA (CSAT_LNC001630)". The record is from RNAcentral. Lineage: Eukaryota; Viridiplantae; Streptophyta; Magnoliopsida; Cucurbitales; Cucurbitaceae.
GGGGGCAGUGUGGCAUCCGUGGUGCUAGAAUUCAUAGGGCUGAAAGAAAUCAUCAAGAAAGGAGAUAUGAUGCCCAAGAAUGAAGUAGGCCAUUUCAAAACUAUCAAAAUCUUUUUCUAAGAAACUAAGAAAUGUAUCAAGAAACUAAGAAAUGUAUCAAGAACCUCAAGAUUGGAGUUCCUUUGAUGAUGAGUUGCAAGAAAGGCCAUUUUUCAAUCUGAACAGAAGAUUUCGACCUCAGUUUGAUGAAAGAAGGAGAGAACCAACAGAAUACAAGAUGAAAGUUGAUCUUCCAAAGCUACGAUGGCAAACGUAAUAUUGAGAUUUUUCUUGAUUGGUUGAAGAAUACUGAAAUUCUUUCAGUUAUAUGAAUACUCCAGAGGUAAAGAAAGUCCAUUUAGUAGCAUUAAAACUGAAGGUUUGAGCAUCGGCUUGGUGGGAACAACUUGAGGUUAAUGGGCAAAAAAAUGGGAACAAACCUAUUGCCUCAUGGGAGAAAAUGAAAAAAUAAUGAAGACACGUUUCCUUCCUUCCAAUUAUGAGCAAACUCUUUACAAUCAGUACCAUAAUUGCUGGCAAGGAGCAAGAAUAGUUGCUGAUUAUAUAGAGGAAUUUCACCAGUUGGGCGCAAGAACCAAUCUAAUGGAGAAUGAGCAGCACCUUAUUCAGUUGGGCGCAAGAACCAAUCUAAUGGAGAAUGAGCAGCACCUUAUUGCACGGUUUGUACGAGGAUUAAGGUUUGACAUCAAAGAAAAGGUAAAAUUACAACCUUUUUUAAAUCUUGCUGAUGUUAUUACCUAUACAGAAUCCGUUGAAGAAAUUAUUGAAUUGAAUUUGAAGAAAAAUACAAGAAGGGGACCAUGGAACAUUACUUCCAAAUAAGUUGCAAAUCAAUCCUCUAUGACUUGUUAUAACAAAGAUCAAGAGAAGGAUAAAACUAAUGAGACAAAUGGAAAGAAGCAAGCAGAAAAUGCCUAUCAAAGAUCGAAUUUAAGCAAGUGUUUCCACAGUGGUCAAACUGGUCAUCUCUCAAAUGCUUUCCCUAAAAGAAAGACGGUGGCUAUUCUUGAAGAAGAUGAAGAUUAUGUUGAAGAACAAGAAGAGGAUCUCUCUCAAGAAGAAGUAUUAGAACCCGAUGAUGGAGAGAGACUAUCGUGUGCGCUGCAAAGAGUCUUAAUUACUCCAAAAAGUGACACCUCUGACCAGCAAAGGCAUAGCCUUUUCAAGACCCAAUGUAUUAUCCAAGGCAAAGUGUGCAGCAUGAUAUCAUUAACAGCAGCAACAGUAAAAAUUUUGUCUCCAAGAAGCUUGUGGCUGCACUUAAGAUGAAAAUGAAGCCUCAUUCAAGUCCUUACAAGAUUCGGUGGAUCAAGAAAGGUGGUGAUGCCCAAAUAAAUGAGGUUUGUUCAGUCCCUUUAUCAAUUAGAGGGACCUAUAAGGAUCUGAUUGUGUGUGACGUCUUGGAUAUGGAUGUUUGCCAUAUUUUUGGAAGACCAUGACAAUACGAUAUUCAAGCUAUUCAUAAGGGGAGAGAGAACACCUAUGAGUUUCAAUGGAUGAACAAGAAGAUUGUGUUGAUGCCCCUAAGCAGGAAGAAUGAGGAAGUAGUCAAUCAAAAGAAGGCUAAAAGUCAUCUUUUCAUCCCUGUAAGUGGAAAGAAAUUUCUAGAAACCAGAGAAUCUGAUAUUUUGGGACUUGUUAUUGCAGGCCCUCAUACUACAGAAAUUUCCAGCUUGAUUCCAGCAAAGGUGCAAGACCUAUUGAGCCAAUUUCAACCUAUAAUGGAGGAGCCUUCUAAAUUGCCUUCCCUUUAGACAUCCAACACGUUAGUGAUUUGAUACCUGGCUCAUCUCUUCCCAACCUUGCUCAUUACAGAAUGAAUCCUAAGGAGUAUGAGUUCUUACACCAGCACAUUGAAGAUUUGUUGACAAAAGGGCAUAUUCAGACAGCACCAACCCUUGUGUCGUACCAGCUCUAUUAACUCCAAAGGAUGGCAGCUGGAGGAUGUGUGUAGGUAGUCGAGCCAUCGACAAAAUUAUGGUCAAGUAUCGUUUUCCUAUUCCAAGAAUUAAUGAUCUCCUUGAUCAAUUUGGAUGAGCUCUUAUUUUUUCAAAGGUAGACCUAAGAAGCGGAUAUCAUCAAAUUAAAAUAAGGUCGGAAGAUGAGUGGAAGAAGACCUUCAAGACUAAUGAGGGGUUAUUCGAAUGGUUAGUGAUGUCUUUUGACUUAUCAAAUGCCCCAAGUACCUUUAUGCGGUUGAUGCACCAAAUGCUACAUUUAUUCUUAAACAAAUUCAUAGUAGUCUACUUUGAUGAUAUCAUAAUCUAUAGCAAGAAUGACCAAGAUCAUAUGCAGCAUCUGAAGUUAGUUUUUGAAGCCCUUCAAAAGAGUAAGUUGUUCAUUAAUUUGAAGAAAUGUAUUUUUUGCACGGAAGAAAUAUCUUUCUUAGGUUUUAUUAUAUCUGAAAAUCAAGUGAAGAUGGAUGAAAACAAGGUGGAAGCUGUAACUAAUUGGUUGAUUCCUAAAUCAUAAAGGAGAUUCAAGCUUUUAUGGGGUUAGCAUAUUUUUACAGGAAGUUUAUUAAGAACUUUAGUUCUAUAACAGCUCCUAUGACUGAUUGUUUGAAGAAGGGAGCCUUUUAUUGGGGAGAAAAACAGCAGCACAAUUUUGACUCCCUUAAAAGAAAGUUUGCCAGCCAACUAAUCCUCAAUUUACCAGAGUUUGACAACCCUUUCGAAGUGGCAAUAGACGCCAGUGGUGUGGAAAUUGGUGUUGUCCUUUCCCAAGGAGGUCAUCUGGUAGAAUUCUUUAGUGAAAAAUUGAGUCAUUCUAGACAAAACUGGAGAACAUAUGAGCAUAAACUUUAUUCACUUGUUAGGGCCUUAAAACAGUGGGAGCACUACUUAUUAUCUAAGGAUUUUGUUUUGCUCACUGAUCAUUUCUCCUUGAAGCAUCUCCAGGCACAAAAAAACAUUAACAAAAUGCAUGCUAGAUGGGUAUCUUAUAUCCAAAGAUUUUAUUUCUUAAUCAAGCAUCAAGCGAGCAAAGAAAACAGAGUUGUAGAUGCCUUAAGCAUAAAAGAGACUCUCCUCAUUGUGCUCUCAACUGAAAUUACAACCUUUAACCAUCUUCCAACACUAUAUGAGACUGAUGAAGACUUUGGUGAGACUUGGAGUCAUUGUACUCAUUUCCAUGAUCGAGAUUAUCAUUUGGUGGAAGGUUUUCUCUUUAAAGGAGACCAACUAUGCAUUCCACAUACUUCCUUAAGGGAAGCCCUAAUAAAAGAUGCUCAUUCGGGAAGCCUAGCUGGACACUUUGGCCAAGGAAAGACUUUUCAAAUUAUCAUCAAGAGGUUUUAUUGGCCUCAGGCUAGAAGAGACAUUAAUAACUUUGUGAAAAAAUGUCCUAUUUUUCAAAGAGCAAAAGGAUCUUCAUCUAAUGUUGGUCUCUACACUCCUCUACCGAUUCCUAAAAACGUAUGGGAGGAUUUGUCAAUUGAUUUCGUAGUGGGUCUACCUAAGAUUCAAAGGGGAUUUAACUCAGUUAUGGUUGUGGUGGACAGAUUCAGCAAGAUGUCUCACUUCUUCCCUUGUAAAAAAAUCACAGACACAGUGCACAUUGCCACUCUCUUCUUUAGGGAGAUUGUUAGACUACACAUGGCAUCCCAAAAACAAUAGUUUCGGACCAAGAUACUAAAUUUCUUAGCCAUUUUUGGAAGACAUUGUGGAAGAAGUUUGACACCACCUUGAAGUUUAGUACCACUGCUCAUCCACAAAUGGAUGGACAAACUGAGGUAACUAACCGGUCCUUGGAAAAUUUAAUUCGCUACCUUAGUGGAAACCAUCCUAGACAAUGGGACAUAGUUCUCUCAUAGGCAGAAUUUUCUUUAACAAAAUGAUGAAUAGAACCACGAGCAAAUGCCCCUUUGAGAUCGUGUACACCAAGGCACCAAGGUUGACAUUCGACCUAACUAGCCUUCCUAAGGAAAUGGAAAUCCAAGAGGAAGCUGAACAGUUAGCUGAAAGAAUACAGAAACUUCACACAGAAGUCAUUGACCAUAUCACUAAAACUAUUGAGUCUUACAAAGAAGAGAAGAAUAAGAAGCGAAAGGAAGUACAUUUCCAAGUUGGAGAUCUUGUAAUGGCACAUUUGAAGAAGAAGAGGUUCCCCAUUGGAACCUAUGGAAAGAUAAAGGACAAGCAUAUUGACCUAUGUAGAAUACUUGCUAAAUAUGAGCCAAAUGCUUAAAAAAUUGAACUACCGCACAGAUUUAACAUCAGCCCAAUCUUCAAUGUAGCAGACCUUAGAAGCUACUAUGCACCAGAUGAAUUUCAGCUUUCAUAGCAAACUCGGGGCAAGUUUGAUGUUCGGGGAGUAGAAUGGUGUAAAUCAAAUAAGCCUAAAUCUACUCAAUGAUCUAUGCUUUCUAGUUUUCUAUUAUAUUUAAAUCUACUACUUUCUAAUUUUUAUAUUUUAAUUUUAAGAUUUAUUAUUAAUAGAUUGUUAGUUACUAUCUAUUUUUCCUACAAAUAAAGUACAUCCUCUCACAUUGAGAGUAGGAUAUUCAUACAAAAUAUAAAAAAAAAAACUCUUUGGUUUCACACCAUGUUGAUACACUUGUUAUCAUUUGCUUAUACACUUAUUGUGUUUUGUUCAUACACUUGGUGGAUUUAAUGCACUCAAUAAGUUUGAUACACUUAAUACACUAGUGAUAAACAUUCUAUACUUCAUCAAUACACUCAACAAAUUGCCAACAUAAGUUUAGCUCAAUUGGCAUUUGUAUGUUCCUGUAAUUUGAUGUCUUGGAUGUAUUUUGGUACAAUAUUUUGGUACAAUCCCUACCCCAGCAUUUAUUACAAUAGCUUUGCAAAAAAAAAAAAAUACACUCAACAAAUUUAAUACACUUUAUACAAUUCAUAUACACUCAACAAAUUUAAUACACUUUAUACAAUUCAUAUAAUUUGAUACCUUGGAUGUAUUUUGGUACAAUUUUCUGUACAUGUUCAUAAUAUUUUAAAACCGUUUUCAAAUGUAUUGUGUGUUGAUCUAAUAGUCUUGUACAGUUGUCCAACAACAGUUUCAUAAAUAUAUAUAUGAUCAACAAUAUUCAUCAAAUAUAGUUUCAAAGCUCUAUGUAUUGUGUGCUGAUCUAAUAGUCUUAUAUAGUUGUCCAGCAAAUUUAAUACACUUUAUACAAUUCAUAUAAUUUGAUGCCUUGGAUGUAUUUUGGUACAAUUUUCUGUACAUGUUCAUAAUAUUUUAAAACCGUUUUCAAAUGUAUUGUGUGUUGAUCUAAUAGUCUUGUACAGUUGUCCAGCAACAGUUUCAUAAAUAUAUAUAUGAUCAACAAUAUUCAUCAAAUAUAGUUUCAAAGCUCUAUGUAUUGUGUGCUGAUCUAAUAGUCUUAUAUAGUUGUCCAGCAACAGUUUCAUAAGUAUAUAUAUGAUCAACAAUAUUCAUCAAAUAUAGUUUCAAAGCUUUAUACAAUCAAUUCCAAGACUUUACAUAGAUAUGAAUAUUCCAUUAGAUUGCCAUGAAUCUAACUCAACUUAAAAAGUCAGAAAACAGACUAGCUAUAAUAAAUCUAAUCAAAAGUAUACCAAUCAACCCCUCCCCCCUUCCUCCAUAUGAACAAUUCAAAAGAAUUAUCAAAUUAUUGGUCACAAUCAUAUGUACGAACCCAGGAAGUGAGCUAACUCAACCGCAAAAUAAAUUAAAUGAUUUAACUCACACUAUACAAAUAAACCAAUUAACUCACAAAAGAAAUAGUUUGAUAUAUAACAUACUGCAUCAGAUAUGACUACUUCCCCUCGUCACAAUUUCUCUCAUAUACCUACAGUAGAUCGAUCGGAUAUUGGUUCAUGACCUAAUAAAAACACAAUAGUUUUUAAGAGUUUGUACGAGUUUGAUAUCAAACUAAGGCAACAAAUAUAACCUUUCUAGAUGCAAAAAACUUUAAAUACAACACAUGAUAUCUUUUAAAAGAGCUAAAGGUAAUUCACAUCAUAAAGUAACCUUGUUUAUUUGCUUCUCAGUCUAGCUCAAAGUAUUUGUAUGAGUUUGCUAUCAAACCAAGGCAACAAAUAUAACCGUUCUAAAUGCAAGAACUUUAAAUACAACACAUAAUACUUUUAAAAAAAACUAAAGGCAAUUCACAUCAUAAAGUAACCUAUAGUUUAGUUGAGAAAAUGACUUUACCUAGAGAUCAGCUACGUAGCACAUAUCCAAAGGAAUUUUCCUAUCUUAUUUGCAUUGUUCUAACCUAUUAGGUUAUAGUCGUGCAAGUUUCCUUGUAUGUUUUCUUGAUGUGUUAGAUAAACAAAGGACACCCAAGAGCACACAAGAGAUCAAAUUUCACAAAUGAGAAAAUGUGAGAGAUUAAUUUUACUACUUCUAAAUGACAAAAAAGUCAGAAAUCACAUGAAAGAACCAAAAGGUCAACCAGCUCAACUUGCACCCCGUCCAACUCGAUCGAUAAGUAUGAUCUUCGUGUGUCAAUCUAUAUACCAAUAAACAUGCAAAAUAAAUGAAUUAACUUAUAAUCCAAAAAGAUCAAUUAACUCAAGUCUCAACGAAUUAAAUGAUUCAUACCUUUUAUGGGUUAUACCAUUACAAAUCCUUUAAAAGAGAUACUUCAAGAGUUUUAUGGGUUAUAUAUGAGAAAAAAAGAGAAAAAAAAAAAGAAAAAAAAACAGAAACAAAAGGAAGAAAGGUAGAUAAAAUUGACCUUGAGUAGUAGUUGAUGGACCGGUAAACUUAGGCCAAGAACAUGUGUAUUAGCUAGGCAAAGAAAGUUAACUAAUAAUAAAAUAAGAAAAACAAAGCACGCAGUCAAUUAUAACGUUUUCAUACAACAUUUAACUAAUAAUAAUUCACUCUUAUGUUUGUUCAUACUCAAGUCAAUAUCACAUUUAAUUAAGCAAAAGAAGUACCUAAAAUUGCUCUACCCAUCAAACUAUAUUUAGCUUUAUCAACCUCUUCCCUUGUCUUUCACCCUCAUCAUUAAAAUGUGUUAUGUGAUAAUUUAAAAGUAAAUUGACUAAUUAAUUAACUAUCAAUGUAUUAAGAUUAUAUAUAAUUAUUAUAACUACACGAUAAUCAUAACACUUCAACACUUGAUCUAAUAAUCCAAGCCUUUAAAACUAGAGUUUAAGAAAGAAUGUAUUACCUUCCACUAUAUAAAAUAUUGUAAUAAAGCACAUCGAAGAUUUGUAUUUAGGAGUAGUUAAUCAAAUUCACAAAAAUAAAAAAAUAAAAUAUCUAAACUUAAUCUAAUACAUGAAAAUAGGAACUGAAUAUCAAAAGAAAACAAAUCUACAAUUUAUUACAUGGUAGACAGAUUUUUAAACUAAACCCAUUCAAUUUCUAAAUAUAGUCAAAACAACUGGUUUUAUAGAGAAAUAGUAGAAAAAUCAAGCAACAAUAAAAGGAGACUGAUGAUGACUUGGCUCUACAAGCUGACGUCCAAAUGGAAAUAUUUCCAUCAAAACUUUUCAAACUUAAACCAAAUCCAAACUUUUGCUCGACCAUAGCUUUCUCCCUCUUUUCAUUUUCAAAGUUUAUUUCUAACAUUUUUGCAAAAUUUUGAUCAAAUAAUGUGAAGUAGCACCCUAAAUUCCACAACCCGUGUUUUGGAUAAAUGCCCGAUAUCACAUAUGAUGAAAUUGUUUUAUACAAUGUAAUCUAAAAUAGUCAUAGCAUUUAGUCAACUUAUACCUCAACGCUUGUGGUGUAAAGACUGCCAACAAAUUAAACUUCUCCAUCUUACUCUUCUUGCCCUUGAUAACAAGAACCGUCAGGUAUUCUUCAUAUAUCUGUAUAUACAAUUCCAAUAUCUCAAGAACUUGAAACAAAAGUAACCUUUAAAUAUAUUUACCAAAUUUCACAAGAGAUCAAAUUUCACAAUUUGAAUUAGUUCUGAAUCUAAAGCAACUGAAGAAAAACAGGAUUGAUGAGGGCUUGAAGGAGGAAAAACAAAGAGGGGAAGUAGGGUUAUACCUUGAAGGACAAUCUUGCAACAUAGCCAAGGCAUUGAGCCUCUUUGUAGAAGAAAUCGAGUGCUCCUACUCUACUCAUUGAGAGAGGAAAAUUACAUUUUUAUAAAGGGAUUCAACAGGAUGAGAUCUGACAAGAUCGCUUUUCACGCCUUGAAGUCCUAAUCGACAGACGAAGAGUGAGAUUUUCGGAGUGCUGGCUUGCCACAGCUGGGCGUUAGAGCAUAAGACCAAAGAAGGGAAAAAUCGUUGGAGGCGAUCUGUUCUUGCAAUGGUGGAUUUGUGGGUCGUCGUCAGUUGUAGAAGGGAGAACCACUGGGAACUCGUAUUCGUCAUCGUGGUCGAUGUUCGCUGUCAGUCAUGGAGCUUCAUCAUUAAAGGAGAAAUUGUAAUGGUCAUCGGAAGUGUUAGGGACAGCGGAUUAGAGGCUACGUUUUCAAAGGACGGAAGUGAAGGGAUUUCGAAUGGAAGGAUUUCGUUUUUGAAGGAUACUGCUGAAGCGUCUUAGGGCCUUUUAGAAAACCAAUAUUCCAUGCGUUUUC